Molecule: ribosomal RNA, 549 nt
Filed under: uncultured Glomus
Lineage: Eukaryota; Fungi; Glomeromycota; Glomeromycetes; Glomerales; Glomeraceae
Description: SSU rRNA
Rfam family: Eukaryotic small subunit ribosomal RNA
Source: RNAcentral
UUGGAGGGCAAGUCUGGUGCCAGCAGCCGCGGUAAUUCCAGCUCCAAUAGCGUAUAUUAAAGUUGUUGCAGUUAAAAAGCUCGUAGUUGAAUUUCGAGAUGAUCAGGUUGGUCGUGCCAUUGGUAUGUACUAGCUUUGGUGGUUCCUACCUCUUGAAGAACCGUAAUGUCAUUAACUUGGUGUUGCGGGGAAUCAGGACUGUUACUUUGAAAAAAUUAGAGUGUUUAAAGCAGGCAAACGCUUGAAUACAUUAGCAUGGAAUAAUGAAAUAGGACGUUUGAUCUUAUUUUGUUGGUUUCUAGGAUCGACGUAAUGAUUAAUAGGGAUAGUUGGGGGCAUUAGUAUUCAAUUGUCAGAGGUGAAAUUCUUGGAUUUAUUGAAGACUAACUACUGCGAAAGCAUUUGCCAAGGAUGUUUUCAUUAAUCAAGAACGAAAGUUAGGGGAUCGAAGACGAUCAGAUACCGUCGUAGUCUUAACCAUAAACUAUGCCGACUAGGGAUCGGAUGAUGUUAAUUUUUUAAUGACUCAUUCGGCGCCUUACGGGAAAC